AAGCUAAAUAUUGGCGAGAGACCGAUAGCGAACAAGUACAGUGAUGGAAAGAUGAAAAGAACUUUGAAAAGAGAGUGAAAAAGUACGUGAAAUUGUUGAAAGGGAAGGGCUUGAGAUCAGACUCGGGCAACCGGGCCAGCAUGGGGUGGGGGAGUAGGAUAACCCUGCAGGAAAGUGGCUUCGCUUCGGUGGAGUGUUAUAGCCUGUAGCUAUACUGCUACCCUCGCCCGAGGACUGCGGAAACAAGGAUGCUGGCAUAAUGAUCUUAAGCCGCCCGUCUUGAAACACGGAC
Molecule: ribosomal RNA, 292 nt
Filed under: Hyphopichia burtonii
Lineage: Eukaryota; Fungi; Ascomycota; Pichiomycetes; Serinales; Debaryomycetaceae
Description: partial 28S ribosomal RNA
Rfam family: Eukaryotic large subunit ribosomal RNA
Source: RNAcentral